RNAcentral lists this ribosomal RNA (548 nucleotides) under Streptomyces sp. 6G10. RNAcentral's name for it is "bacterial SSU rRNA". It matches the Rfam family "Bacterial small subunit ribosomal RNA", at positions 61 to 619 of the family's 1533-position model. Lineage: Bacteria; Bacillati; Actinomycetota; Actinomycetes; Kitasatosporales; Streptomycetaceae. The record is from RNAcentral.
GUCGAACGAUGAACCGCUUUCGGGCGGGGAUUAGUGGCGAACGGGUGAGUAACACGUGGGCAAUCUGCCCUGCACUCUGGGACAAGCCCUGGAAACGGGGUCUAAUACCGGAUAUGACCGUCUGCCGCAUGGUGGAUGGUGUAAAGCUCCGGCGGUGCAGGAUGAGCCCGCGGCCUAUCAGCUUGUUGGUGAGGUAGUGGCUCACCAAGGCGACGACGGGUAGCCGGCCUGAGAGGGCGACCGGCCACACUGGGACUGAGACACGGCCCAGACUCCUACGGGAGGCAGCAGUGGGGAAUAUUGCACAAUGGGCGAAAGCCUGAUGCAGCGACGCCGCGUGAGGGAUGACGGCCUUCGGGUUGUAAACCUCUUUCAGCAGGGAAGAAGCGAAAGUGACGGUUACCUGCAGAAGAAGCGCCGGCUAACUAACGUGCCAGCAGCCGCGGUUAAUACGUAGGGCGCAAGCGUUGUCCGGUAAUUAUUGGGCGUAAAGAGCUCGUAGGCGGCUUGUCACGUCUGGUUGUGAAAACCCGGGGUUUAACCCCGGG